UCUGAUGGAGCGGUUUGAGUGAUGUAG
This 27-nucleotide non-coding RNA is filed under the name Cricetulus griseus (Chinese hamster). Lineage: Eukaryota; Metazoa; Chordata; Mammalia; Rodentia; Cricetidae. The record is from RNAcentral.